Molecule: long non-coding RNA, 1748 nt
Organism: Callithrix jacchus (white-tufted-ear marmoset)
Lineage: Eukaryota; Metazoa; Chordata; Mammalia; Primates; Cebidae
Source: Ensembl
AGCCCAGACGGCUUCGGCAUGUUUCCUGCCGUUUCCUUCUCUGUGUGUCUGGCCCGUGUCGGGAACACACUCAGCAAGCAGGCACCAGGGCUCAGGCGCUCAGGCCAGACACAGGCAAGCAGUGGGAUGGCUUCAGCCUUCCAGGGCUGUGUCCAGAAACCGACAGCGUCCAUUUAUGCAACUGAGGGUCCUCUGAGCUCGGACGUUCUUUGAGGAGCAUGAAGAACCACCCUCCUUUCCCAGGAUGAAAACAGUCAACAAAGCUUUUCUUCAUUUGAAAAGUUGGUGGCUUCGAUUGGAGCAGCGCUGGUAAUGAGGCCAGGUGUGGCUGAUGACAGAGCAGCAUUUUUGGAACUCGCUUGUUAUUUAUAUACGGAAAGUAUUAUUGUUUGUCUGACAUAAUCUUGGCCUGUGAGAUUGAUCUUUGUUUAACCUACUAGAAGGUGUUGAGCGAUAGUCUGGCUGCUACUGAGUCAUGAAGCCUGGAGGGGAGGAUGUGCCCUUUGCCCCUUGCCCCUCACUGGGUGUCUGUCUGGAAUAGAGCCUGUCCUGUGACCCCACAGGGCUGAUGGGUGAGACAUGGUGUCCAUGGAGGCAAAGGGAGGCAGAGAGGAGAGAGGGUUCCCCAGCCCUUCCUGUGUCUGCUUAGUUCGCAGGCAAGAGGAAACAUCUCCAGGAAGAAAUGGAGAGAGGGAAGGAAAACAGGAGCGCACAGCAGGGGGCUUUUACAGUAUUUUGGUGCCGAUUUCACAGCAAUUAGAACGGCUGAGAUAUCUUCCAGGAGGGGCCACCAAGGCUUUAAAGAGAAAAAAAUUGAUGGUAAACAAAUACAGGGAGAAACAAGACAGCUUUAAGAUACUGCCAACUUGGGCAAGGACAGCUCAAUAGCGGGCCAGAAGGGCUACGAGAGAUUGGCCAUGGAAGGGGCCCAGGGAGCGAUUCUGGGAGGUGGCCCUGGACGGUGGUUAUGGAGUUUGCAUGUGGCUGGGACCCAUGGUGGAGGAACCACAGCAGGCCUUGUCUGUGGAGAACUGAAGGAUCAGAAAGUCCAGGGGUACCAUGAAGUGGCUCAUCGACAGCCGGUCCCCAUCUCCAAAUCCCAGACAUCCUGCUUCCGGAAGAAUCACCGUGACCGACAAGCCAUGAAGCAGCUGCGUCUAGGAGGCAGUCACCUUGUGGCCACCAAGACUCCUCUCUCAGCACCCUCAGGACCACUGGGCGGGGUUAGCGGACCCACCGAGACUCCUCUCUCAGCACCCUCAGGACCACUGGGCAGGGUUAGCGGACCCACCGAGACUCACCUCAGAGCACCCUCAGGACCACCGGGCGGGGUGAGCGGACCCACCGAGACUCACCUCAGAGCACCCUCAGGACCACUGGGUGGGGUGAGCGGACCCACCGAGACUCACCUCAGAGCACCCUCAGGACCACUGGGUGGGGUGAGCGGACCCACCGAGACUCACCUCAGAGCACCCUCAGGACCACUGGGUGGGGUGAGCGGACCCACCGAGACUCACCUCAGAGCACCCUCAGGACCACCGGGCGGGGUGAGCGGACCCACGGAGACUCCUCUCUCAGCACCCUCAGGACCACUGGGUGGGGUGAGCGGACCCACGGAGACUCCUCUCUCAGCACCCUCAGGACCACCGGGUGGGGUGAGUCAGGCCCAGGCUCUCCACUGGGAUCCUUUCCCUGGGACUGGGAGCUGCCACCUUUCCGUUCUGAUUCCUCAGGGUCAGCGUGACUGA